CAGCCGCCGCGGGAAUACAGAGGGUGCGAGCGUUAAUCGGAUUUACUGGGCGUAAAGCGUGCGUAGGCGGCUUCUUAAGUCGGAUGUGAAAUCCCUGAGCUUAACUUAGGAAUUGCAUUCGAUACUGGGAAGCUAGAGUAUGGGAGAGGAUGGUAGAAUUCCAGGUGUAGCGAUGAAAUGCGUAGAGAUCUGGAGGAAUACCGAUGGCGAAGGCAGCCAUCUGGCCUAAUACUGACGCUGAGGUACGAAAGCAUGGGGAGCAAACAGGAUUAGAUACCCCUGUAGUCCCUGUCUCUUAUAA
RNAcentral lists this ribosomal RNA (301 nucleotides) under uncultured bacterium. Its description in RNAcentral is "partial 16S ribosomal RNA". It matches the Rfam family "Bacterial small subunit ribosomal RNA", at positions 509 to 809 of the family's 1533-position model. The record is from RNAcentral.